AUGCUGACCUUGUCCUCGGCGCUCCCGGUGUUCCACUCGGACUGGUGCACUAGCUUCACCUUGCUCUCGGGCGCGUGCUCGUCGUCGCCGGUGCAGGUGACCAUCUUCUACAUCUCGCUCUACCUGGUGGCGCUGGCGGAGGCCGAGCACAAGCCGUGCGCGCAGGCGUUCGGCGCCGACCAGUUCAACCAGCACCACCCCGACGAGUCCGUCUCUCGGAGCUCCUUCUUCAACUGGUGGUACUUCGGCAUGUGCUCCGGCAUCGCCGCCACCACCAUGGCCUCCAGCUACAUCCAGGACAACAUCGGCUGGGGCCUCGGCUUCGGCAUCCCCUGCCUCAUCAUGGUCUUCGCGCUCGCCAUGUUCCUGCUCGGCACCCGCCGGUAUCGCUACUACACCUCCACCCAGUCCAGCCCCUUCGCCCGCCUCGCCAGGGCCUUCGUCACGCUCCUCAAAGGCUCCAAGUCCAGCCAAUGCGCCAAUACUCUCGCGGGCGAGGAUGGUGAGUUCAACGCGGAGCACCGGGAGGAAGUUCGGGGCCUGCUGCGGCUGUUCCCCAUCUGGGCGACGUGCAUCAUCUAUGUCGUCAUCUUCUCCCAGUCGUCGACCUUCUUCACGAAGCAGGCGGCGACGCUGGACCGGCGGAUCGGCGCCACCUUCCGCGUGCCGCCGGCGGCGCUGCAGACGUUCAUCAGCCUGACCAUCAUCACCUUCAUCCCAGUCUACGACCGGCUCUUCGUGCCGGCGGCGCGGCGGUUCACGCGCCUGUCCUCGGGCAUCACCAUGCUGCAGAGGAUCGGCACCGGGCUGGUCCUCGCCCUGGUGGCCAUGGUGGUGGCGGCGCUGGUGGAGGCGAGGCGGCUGGGCGUGGCGAGGGAGGCCGGCCUCGUGGACGACCCCAAGGCGGCGCUGCCGAUGAGCCUGUGGUGGAUGGUGCCGCAGUACGUGCUGUUCGGGCUGUCGGACGUGUUCGCCAUGAUCGGGCUGCAGGAGUUCUUCUAUGACCAGGUCCCCGACGCGCUGCGCAGCCUGGGGCUGGCCUUCUUCCUCAGCAUCUUCGGGGUGGGCCACUUCCUGAGCAGCUUCCUCAUCUCCGCCAUCGACGGCGCCACCAAGAAGGGUGGCGCCAGCUGGUUCUCCAACAACCUCAACCGCGCGCACCUCGACUACUUCUACUGGCUGCUCGCCAGGUUGAUUCAGCAAAACGCAGGGGGGUUUGUGAGAAAAUCCGUGCGCUGA
RNAcentral lists this ribosomal RNA (1239 nucleotides) under Triticum aestivum (bread wheat). Its description in RNAcentral is "partial small subunit ribosomal RNA". The record is from RNAcentral. Lineage: Eukaryota; Viridiplantae; Streptophyta; Magnoliopsida; Poales; Poaceae.